GCAUGUGCUGGUGUUGGAUGCAUCCUGCAUGCAUGCAGCAGGAGUCCCGGCUGCACCUGGUGAGCUGCUGGGCACCCCCACCCCAAUAUGUCUAUUUGCACGAUUUAAAUGUCUUAGGAGGUGAAGAUGUUUGUUUAAGGUAGUUUAGGGGAGGCUUGGAGCAGAGUCAGAGAUGGCCUGAAGUUGCUUCUCCAACCCUCCCUCAGAACAAGACUGAGCCCUGUGAGGAAAUAGUGCAGACAGAGCCAAAAGAACUUCUCUAAGCAACCCUGGGGGGCUUGAGCUGCAGGGCUGACAUGAAAGAGUGAGUCAAGGUGGAGGAAGGCACAUCUCUCCUCUCCAUUCAGGAUAUCAGCGAGACUCUGUACUCCAGUCUAUGGAAGGAGGCAUGAUUUGGUGGACCGUCUGUCCACCAGCCUGCCUCCACCCUGCCUUAGGCUUUCCUAUCGGAGGCAAUGAUGGUUUAGCCCAGUAUUCCCAGAGCAUCUUCUCCAGAGCACCGGGUCCUUGGGAUGCUAAUGCAUGUUAAAUCAAAAGGGUUCCAUGGUAAGUGGAGUUCGGGAAAGAUAAACAGGUGCCCUCGCUGCAGAGUCUUGCUUCUCAGAGCCUUGAAUAUGAUGAUAUUUGUUCAUGGGCUCGAUGAGGAAGAUGUAGUGUGCUGCAGUCAUAACUGCAGAGCAUGCCACAAUAUCACAGUCACCUAGAAAAUAUUUUGGGAAAAGGUAAAUUAACUGAAGCCCACAAAUAAAAUACACACAUUUCCCUCCGAGUUUCCCUUUGUUAUUAGUGCAGGAUCCUGGAUUCAUUUCUCCUAUUGCAGAGCUUCCACUUGAGGGGAUGGAACCUUCAGGAGGCCAGCAGAGUUCUAGAGGGCAGGAGCAAGAAGGCAGAUGAUCAAGGGGUGUCAUAGUCGUGGCUCCUCGGGCCAGUGAUGACUAAAAUAUGGCUUGGAGUGAUUGGUGUCUAGCUUUGCUCAGUGGGGUAAAUUUGCAAGACAAAGAUGUCAGGGCCUCACUGGAUCCCUCCUACUCUUUACUGCCCGCCCCAGCCCCCUACCUGCGACUCCUAUUGACUGUACCUCCAUAACACAUCCCAGGCCAGACCUCUUCCCUCCCCUCCAGUGUCACCCCAGUCCAAGCCACCUGGACAUGGCCACAUCCUCCUAAAUGGUCCCCUGGCUUCUGCUCCUGCCUCCCUAGAAGUUAAAUCAAACCCCUGCUUCAAACUCCUGGGUAGCUUUCCACUGCAUCCAGAGAAACAUCCCAAGUCCUUCCCUGGCUUCAAACGCUCUGCCUGCCCUAGCCCCUGCCUGCCUCCCAGCCUCACUCCAUGCACCUCCUGCCCACCUGCUACCCUUCAGCCACACUGGCCUUUCUUUCUACUCACCAAAGACCCCAAGCUCAUCCCACCCAGACCUCAGCCAGGCUGCUCCCUUGCCCAGCGUGCUCCCUCCUCUUCAUCCAGCUGGCUUCUCCUCAUCUGAGUCUCAGUGGAACGUCAAGACCAUCCUUGACUCGCCCACCUGCUGCUAACCUCUCCCUCACAUCACACUAUGUGAAUGGUCUCUAUGGCAUUUAUCCUGAAUGCCGGUUUUCUUCUUAGUUUAUCUGCAUUUGAUUUUGCCUGUCCCCGGGACCAGAAUGUCAGCCCCACGAGGGCAGAGGCAUCUGUCUUCAUCCCCUGUGCUGAGAACAGCACCUGGCACACAGUGGACACACGGCAGAGGGACAUUGAAUGGUCAGUGACCUCUCUGCACCUCACCUCCCCAUCUGACACUGUUUCCCAAAGGGAUCUCCAGCAAUUCGGGGAAAAAAGGAGAAGAGAUGGAGGAGAAAAUGAUCCCCAGGAAAUGCCAAAGAGGGAAACCACCACAACAGACCGUGUAUGGACAAGCUUCAUGCCUGUUGCUGUGUGGGCCACUCAAGAGAGUUCACCAGAACACCUGAUGACAUUAUCGAAGACAGUCAACUGGAAACCAGGAAAAUCCAUCAGAUGGAAACUACCAUCCUCAUUCCACCAUUUAAAGAUGCUUCUAACUGAAAUCUAGAAAUUUUCUCAAUUGGCUGUUCUCCAAACUCAGAAACUGAGUUCAUAAUUUGCUCAAACUAUUAACCUUUGUUUUCCUUUUGUCUCAAUAGAAAUGCCUCUUAUUAAGUUACCUAAUUGCUCGCAUCACAUAGAG
This is a long non-coding RNA of Equus caballus (horse), 2182 nucleotides long. The record is from Ensembl. Lineage: Eukaryota; Metazoa; Chordata; Mammalia; Perissodactyla; Equidae.